CGUAAUACCGAACCAAGAAAAGUAGAUCCGCCAACAAUAAUAUUCUUAACCAUGAGCGGCUAACCCCUUUGAAUCGGGUUUCUUUUGUUCUGAACUUAUGCAUGCACAUGUUACUUUGGAUAACUAAAGUGGCCCUGAAAAUUCAGACAAGCAAUACUCUAUAUGUAUGCUUCCCCAUUAGUCAAUCUUCAAGUCUAUCUUGUCAAAAAAGGCGUGACAAGAUUAAUUGCCACAUUUGUAGGUGAUACGGGAAUCUGCUAAACAAGAUGCCAUGUUUAAGAAAGACAUAUGGCCUAUAUAUACACAAUCAAACCAGCGCAACUGUGCCAGAGGCUUGGCUGCUAGCUUUUGGCCGGUGGAGGCCGCGUCGGCUUGCCGCUCUUGCAGGCUAAGCAAAGCAAACAAAAGCAGCGAAAACGAUGGGCAAACAAAGCAACGAGAGCUAGCUGAUGCGGUGACGAUGCAGCAACCACACGGGACAGUGCAGGGCGCUGCCACACGUGGGGCGAAGUUGGCUAAGCUAGCCGUGCUGCAACAAUUCGGUAUCCCCGGGGCCCUUGCCUGCCUGCGGAAGUGCGGACUGGGCUAUUCGCUAGCCGCUACUACUACGUGCGCGUGCACCGGCGACCGACAAGGACACAGAUUGAAAGCACCGGCGGAGAAAGGGCCGGGUCGUCGCGUGGAUUUGUCGUCGCGUCGAGACGGGAGAGUGGCCCACCUGCAGCUGCAGGUCUUGGAUGAAGAAGAAGACGCGUCGCCCUGGCCCGGGCGGAUGGAAAUGGAAUUUGUGCCCCGGCCUGCCCAGUACUGGCUAGGAUUUUAUCUCCUCAUUUAAGAUUCCAAACUUUUCGAACGACGUUUUGCAAGCUGGCCUUCUGGGGUUUGAUUUUUCCCUUAAGCAUCAACGUUGAUGGACAAACACGUACUCGUACGGUGCCGUAUUGCUCAUGACCACGUGCUAGUUGUCUGGAGCAAGACUUUUUUUCUUUCUUACCUAUUCUCUACGGUUUUUUUUCUCUAUAAAACGUUUUGACAAGUCAAACUUACCAAGCUUCUUGUACAAUCCGAUAAAAAAAACCUCUUGUACAAAGAAAUACUCCUAACGCAUUUUAUGAAACCUCCGCCGGUGAAAAUGUGAAAAGUUUCGGUCCUAACCAUUGAAUCUUAAAUAAACGGAUUAUUAGACUAAAAGUGAAACCUCUAGUCACCUAACACAUUUUAUCAAACCCCCUCAUGAUUAGUGGUUCAAGGAGAGUCUUCAUAAAAUACAUCUAAGUAAAUUAGAUGUUCUACUUUCAUCUGGCUCGUUCAUUUGAGAUUUAAUGGUAAGGAUUUGAGAGUUUCAAUUUUUUACUGGACCAAAGUUUUCACCUGAUACAAGCUCAGAUAAAAUAUCUAUUUGUUGCAAAGUACUCAUAUAUUAAGGUUGCUUUUGUUUAGGCUGGAGCUGAAAAAAACUAAUUUUUUGCUCGAGAUGAGACUGACUUGCUGUUCGUUUAGUGCAACAAUGAAACGUACUGUGGCUACUGGCUAGAGCUGGAUGUGAUGGAACUAGAGCUGGAUGUGAUGGAAUGUCUGAAAUAUCCAUGUUUGCUGCAAAUUUUGAUCAAGUGACAAGUUUGUUGCUGUAAGUGCACAAAUGACAAGUUUAAAAGUUGUUUUAAGUGUAAAAUAUCCAAUUUUGACAAGACUUAACUGAAUUUAUGUAUUUUCGCUAGAUUUGCAUGAAUUGCUUCAUUUCAUAUAUCAUUUAGCUUUCAACAAUAGAGAAUAACCGAACUCGGAAUGUUAACUAUACAAUGCUGUAACUUCCUCAUUUCUCAUUUCACGCACAAACUAAUUCCUCAUUCCAUCACACAUUCAUUCCUCAUUUCAGAAAUAAAAUAACUCACAAACAAACAAAUUUCCGUUCAUCCUUUUAUAAAUAAAACCGCUCU
Molecule: long non-coding RNA, 1937 nt
Organism: Brachypodium distachyon (stiff brome)
Lineage: Eukaryota; Viridiplantae; Streptophyta; Magnoliopsida; Poales; Poaceae
Exons: 2
Source: RefSeq, a predicted model, not a curated record